GUGGGGAAUAUUGGACAAUGGGCGAAAGCCUGAUCCAGCCAUGCCGCGUGUGUGAAGAAGGUCUUCGGAUUGUAAAGCACUUUAAGUUGGGAGGAAGGGCAGUAAGUUAAUACCUUGCUGUUUUGACGUUACCGACAGAAUAAGCACCGGCUAACUUCGUGCCAGCAGCCGCGGUAAUACGAAGGGUGCAAGCGUUAAUCGGAAUUACUGGGCGUAAAGCGCGCGUAGGUGGAUUUGUAAGUUGGAGGUGAAAUCCCCGGGCUCAACCUGGGAACUGCCUCCAAAACUGCAUGACUGGAGUACGGUAGAGGGUAGUGGAAUUUCCUGUGUAGCGGUGAAAUGCGUAGAUAUAGUAAGGAACACCAGUGGCGAAGGCGACUACCUGGACUGAUACUGACGCUGAGGUGCGAAAGCGUGGGAAGCAAACAGGAUUAGAUACCCUAGUAGUCC
Molecule: ribosomal RNA, 450 nt
Filed under: uncultured bacterium
Lineage: Bacteria
Description: partial 16S ribosomal RNA
Rfam family: Bacterial small subunit ribosomal RNA
Source: RNAcentral